This 587-nucleotide ribosomal RNA is filed under the name uncultured Funneliformis. RNAcentral describes it as "LSU rRNA". It matches the Rfam family "Eukaryotic large subunit ribosomal RNA", at positions 204 to 637 of the family's 3401-position model. The record is from RNAcentral. Lineage: Eukaryota; Fungi; Glomeromycota; Glomeromycetes; Glomerales; Glomeraceae.
CAUGGAGGGUGAGAAUCCCGUUCAUGGUUAAUCUUAAGGAAGCUCUACGAUACGUUUUCCAAGAGUCGAGUUGUUUGGGAUUGCAGCUCAAAAUGGGAGGUAAAUUUCUCCUAAGGCUAAAUAUUGGCGAGAGACCGAUAGCGAACAAGUACCGUGAGGGAAAGAUGAAAAGAACUUUGAAAAGAGAGUUAAACAGUACGUGAAAUUGUUGAAAGGAAAACGAUUGAAGUCAGUCAUACCAACGGGAAAUCAACCUUUUGAGCUCGGUCUCGUGGGUUUUGAAGAGUUUCAAAGCCUUCGGAUUCGCGGGAUUGGGAUCUCUUGGCGUACUUUUUCGUACGGUUAGUCAACAUCGGUUUUGAAUGUCAUAAAAUGACUGGAGGAAUGUAGCUUCGAUCUCGUAUUGAAGUGUUAUAGCCUUUGGUAGAUGUGAUGUUUGAGACCGAGGAUUGCAACGGAUACCCUUCAGGGCUAUUCGUCUGAUCUCUGAUACGUUGCCUUGAUGUUGAAAGCUUGCUUAUGAUGUUAGGGUAUUACGGUCAAAAGGUUAGAACGAAUUACAUUCGUUAAGGAUGUUGACGUAAUGG